GACCUAUUAGCUCAGUUGGUUAGAGUAUCGUGUUAAUAACGUGAAAAUCACAGGUUCAAAUCCUGCAUGUGUCA
This is a non-coding RNA of Glycine soja, 74 nucleotides long. The record is from Rfam. Lineage: Eukaryota; Viridiplantae; Streptophyta; Magnoliopsida; Fabales; Fabaceae.